UGCAUCGGCUGGGAAUCGAACCUGGGCCGCCCGCGUGGCAGGCGAGCAUUCUACCACUGAACCACCGAUGG
This 71-nucleotide transfer RNA is filed under the name Cordylochernes scorpioides. RNAcentral describes it as "tRNA-Gly". Lineage: Eukaryota; Metazoa; Arthropoda; Arachnida; Pseudoscorpiones; Chernetidae. The record is from RNAcentral.